Molecule: ribosomal RNA, 492 nt
Filed under: uncultured bacterium
Lineage: Bacteria
Description: partial 16S ribosomal RNA
Rfam family: Bacterial small subunit ribosomal RNA
Source: RNAcentral
AGUGAACGCUGGCGGUAGGCCUAACACAUGCAAGUCGAACGGCAGCACAGUAAGAGCUUGCUCUUACGGGUGGCGAGUGGCAGACGGGUGAGGAAUACAUCGGAAUCUACUUUUUCGUGGGUGAUAACGUAGGGAAACUUACGCUAAUACCGCAUACGACCUACGGGUGAAAGCAGGGGAUCUUCGGACCUUGCGCGAUUGAAUGAGCCGAUGUCGGAUUAGCUAGUUGGCGGGGUAAAGGACCACCAAGGCGACGAUCCGUAGCUUGUCUGAGUGGAUGAUCAGCCACACUGGAACUGAGACACGGUCCAGACUCCUACGGGAGGCAGCAGUGGGGAAUAUUGGACAAUGGGCGCAAGCCUGAUCCAGCCAUACCGCGUGGGUGAAGAAGGCCUUCGGGUUGUAAAGCCCUUUUGUUGGGAAAGAAAAGCAGCAGGUUAAUACCCCGCUGUUCUGACGGUACCCAAAGAAUAAGCACCGGCUAACUUCGUG